CCUACGGGCGGCAGCAGUGAGGAAUAUUGGUCAAUGGACGAGAGUCUGAACCAGCCAAGUAGCGUGAAGGAUGACUGCCCUAUGGGUUGUAAACUUCUUUUAUAUGGGAAUAAAACGUUCCACGUGUGGGAUUUUGUAUGUAUCAUAUGAAUAAGGAUCGGCUAACUCCGUGCCAGCAGCCGCGGUAAUACGGAGGAUCCGAGCGUUAUCCGGAUUUAUUGGGUUUAAAGGGAGCGUAGGUGGAUUGUUAAGUCAGUUGUGAAAGUUUGCGGCUCAACCGUAAAAUUGCAGUUGAAACUGGCAGUCUUGAGUACGGUAGAGGUGGGCGGAAUUCGUGGUGUAGCGGUGAAAUGCUUAGAUAUCACGAAGAACUCCGAUUGCGAAGGCAGUUCACUGGACUGCAACUGACACUGAGGCUCGAAAGUGUGGGUAUCAAACAGGAUUAGAUACCCGAGUAGUC
Molecule: ribosomal RNA, 460 nt
Filed under: uncultured bacterium
Lineage: Bacteria
Description: partial 16S ribosomal RNA
Rfam family: Bacterial small subunit ribosomal RNA
Source: RNAcentral